RNAcentral lists this transfer RNA (69 nucleotides) under Mesocricetus auratus (golden hamster). It matches the Rfam family "tRNA". Rfam says of the family: Transfer RNA (tRNA) molecules are approximately 80 nucleotides in length. Lineage: Eukaryota; Metazoa; Chordata; Mammalia; Rodentia; Cricetidae. The record is from Rfam by way of RNAcentral.
GGUGUAACUCAGUGGCAGAGUGCUUGCUUAGCAUGUAUAAAGGAAGCCCUGGGUUCAAUUCCCAGCAUC